GUUGAAACACCAGUUCCAGUAGGAACUCCGAAGUUAAGCAAAGUCUAGCCGAGUCAGUACCUAGAUGGGUGACCGCUCUGGAAUACCAGGUUCUG
Acanthosepion pharaonis is the source of this 95-nucleotide non-coding RNA. The record is from the annotation of a GenBank genome assembly. NCBI's taxonomy places the organism in Eukaryota, Metazoa, Mollusca, Cephalopoda, Sepiida, Sepiidae.